UACGAAGGGUGCUAGCGUUGUUCGGAAUCACUGGGCGUAAAGCGCGCGUAGGCGGCUUUGUAAGUUAGAGGUGAAAGCCCGGGGCUCAACCCCGGAACUGCCUUUAAAACUGCAUCGCUUGAAUCCGGGAGAGGUGAGUGGAAUUCCGAGUGUAGAGGUGAAAUUCGUAGAUAUUCGGAAGAACACCAGUGGCGAAGGCGGCUCACUGGACCGGCAUUGACGCUGAGGUGCGAAAGCGUGGGGAGCAAACAGG
This 253-nucleotide ribosomal RNA is filed under the name uncultured bacterium. Its description in RNAcentral is "partial 16S ribosomal RNA". It matches the Rfam family "Bacterial small subunit ribosomal RNA", at positions 524 to 776 of the family's 1533-position model. The record is from RNAcentral.